RNAcentral lists this non-coding RNA (138 nucleotides) under Thelohanellus kitauei. The record is from Rfam by way of RNAcentral. Lineage: Eukaryota; Metazoa; Cnidaria; Myxozoa; Bivalvulida; Myxobolidae.
CCUGAGAUAGCUGGUGACCUAUUCAUGAUUUGAGCGAAUUCACUGAAAAAGAUUAUGGAGUCUCGUUGAGGUUCUGACGUGGAAAUCAAUCAUCAAACUUGGGUAGACGGGCGAAAGACUUAUCUAUAUAUUAGCUGG